Rhododendron vialii is the source of this 1335-nucleotide long non-coding RNA. RefSeq lists it as uncharacterized. The transcript is spliced from 6 exons. NCBI's taxonomy places the organism in Eukaryota, Viridiplantae, Streptophyta, Magnoliopsida, Ericales, Ericaceae. The record is from RefSeq and is a predicted model, not a curated record.
CUACUUAUAUCCUAAUAUUGUUUUUUGGUUCUAUUGUAUUUGAAUCAGCUGUCUGAAAAACAAGUUGAGCUUGGAUAUUCUAUGCUUUUUUAAAAUUUAGCCUUUGCAUAUGUUGCUAAUGAGACUAUUACUAACUACUAUGAAUAUCUUGCUUUGAAGGAUCACUAACCAAAGCACUGUAGUUGAGAACAAACUAUAUUGUUCGAGUGGCGACUAACAAUUUAGAUCAGUAAUGCAAUGAGCCACAUAUUCUACUUUUGUUUGAGUGUAAUAUUCUACAUCUUGAAGUUCGUUGACCAUGUGACUUUAUUUUCUUAAUUUCCUGCUUUAACUGAAAUGUUCAUGUACAAAGUACAAUAAAAACAGUGGCUUUAGAACAAUACAAAUGCAUAGCUAAAGCAUAGAAAGAACAAUUGACAUGUAGACAUGCAAAAGCAAUGGCUUUUUGCAUGUAUAUGUAGACCUGCAACAUUCAGUGCAACUACAUAAGAGAACCAUAGUUGUAAUACAAAUAAGAUGGACCAAAACAAUCAAUCCCUUGUAUUUGAAAAUCUGAAACUGAUCUCUCUAAUUCAAUAACCUCUUGGUAUUUCUCUAUUAUCAUCACAACGAAACAAAAAACACUUCUCAAGAUGAAAGAAGAAGUUGCUAGAGUUCUGAUCCGUAUGAAGGAUAGGUUUGCAACGUUAUUUAGUCAGGAUUCUGAUUCAAUGCCGCGGGUUUGGACUGGGAAGGAAGACAUUCGAGCAAUCACCAAGAUGGCUCACUCAUCAUCUUUGAAGUUGCUUUCUGUUAUGGCUGCAAUCCGUUUGGAUGACGAGGCUGAUAACAUUGAAAAGACCCUAGCCGUGGCGUUAGUGGAUAAUAAAAGUGGUGUUGCUACCAAUAAGAGCAUCACAUCAGAUGAUCCCCUGGCCUCAAGCACUUGGGAAGAGUUUCACCAUCAAAGACAUUGAACACACCUGUCCAGUGCAAAUCUUUAUGGAGGCAAUUCAAAUCGGAGAUGGAGUCACACUGUCGCUCAAGCCAUUGCUGCUCAGGCAUGAUUUCCUAGCUAGCAAGCGGAAUAACAACUGGUUGCCGCCUCCGUGGGCAAUUCUUGCCUUGGUGGUCCUAGGAUUCAAUGAAUUUGUGACACUUUUGAGAAAUCCUUUGUAUCUUGGUGCAAUAUUUGUUGCUUUUCUACUUGUAAAAGCCCUAUGGGUCAGCUUGACAUCUCUGGUGAAUUCCGAAAUGGCGCAGUGAGUUUCAAGCUCUCGUUUUAUUUUAUGAUGAUUUUUUAUCGACGGUUGUAAAAGCAACUAAUCGAAAUAAGCAAGCGAUAAAAACUCGUAU